Molecule: long non-coding RNA, 280 nt
Filed under: Ananas comosus (pineapple)
Lineage: Eukaryota; Viridiplantae; Streptophyta; Magnoliopsida; Poales; Bromeliaceae
Description: long non-coding RNA (ACOM_LNC018442)
Source: RNAcentral
CUACAAAUUUCUAUGGGUGAUGAAAAAAAAGGGCAAGUACCGAAAAGAAGAGGCAAGUGCUUUGUUGGGGGAAAAAAAAUUAUUGACUUAAAGAAGCUAGCAUCGUAUCUCACGAUGAUGACUAGAUUGGGUCAACUCACAAUCGAAAUCCACGAGCAUUAUAUGCCUAUUCACUUCAAGUAAAUUUAUGACUUCAUUUCUAACGUCUCAAGUUUUUGAAAUUAUGAUUAGUGCCGACUAUCAAACAAUUUAUACAUUCUAGAGCUAAAGCAUACAUCUU